UUUCCGUAGGUGAACCUGCGGAAGGAUCAUUAAUGAGUUGUCAUGGAGUUCGAUGCUGGCACACAAUUUUUGAAUGCAUGUGCUUGCCCUAACAAUCAUCUUCCAAACACCUGUGCACAUUUUUGAGAGCGUCUUGAGUUGGUUGCCGCCCUUGGGUGAUUUUCUCACAUUCCCUUAAAUCAUUAUACGCUCUUAUCAAUGUUGAACGUGCUCUGUGCCGCAUUGCUAUUAAUAUAAUACAACUUUCAACAACGGAUCUCUUGGCUCUC
RNAcentral lists this unclassified non-coding RNA (269 nucleotides) under plant metagenome. RNAcentral describes it as "partial contains small subunit ribosomal RNA, internal transcribed spacer 1, and 5.8S ribosomal RNA". The record is from RNAcentral.